UAAGAGAUCGGUUCUGCCCAGUGCUGAUAUUAAAAGUUAACGGCGGCGGUAUUCUUAACUGUCCGAAGGUAGCGUAGUUAUUUGGCUUUUAAUUGGGGUCUGGUAUGAAGGAGCUGACGAGGGUUUUUCUGUCUUAGGAGUUGUUAGUGAAUUUAGUUAAGGAGUUAAAAGUCUUCUGUGUUGUAAAGGGACGAUAAGACCCCGACGAGUUUUUUCUUUAUUAAAAGGCUUUUUUUUAGUAAAGGUUUGGUUGGGGUAACUUGUUUAAAAUUUUUUAUGUUUUUGUUGAAAUGAAUAGUUUUAGAGUGUCUUUAGAAAAAAAUUUUUUUGUUUAGAUCUAGGGAAGUUCUUGUUCUUUAGUUUAAGUUAAAAUUACCGCGGGGGUAACAGCGUGGUUUUCUUAGAGAGUACUUAUUGAAGGGAUAGUUCGCGACCUCGAUGUAGAAUCAUUCUUUCCUGGAGGGGCAGCAAAUUCCAAGGGUGGGUUUGUUC
RNAcentral lists this ribosomal RNA (492 nucleotides) under Rhabdopleura sp. 1 JTC-2014. RNAcentral's name for it is "partial 16S ribosomal RNA". It matches the Rfam family "Archaeal large subunit ribosomal RNA", at positions 1938 to 2651 of the family's 2987-position model. Lineage: Eukaryota; Metazoa; Hemichordata; Pterobranchia; Rhabdopleurida; Rhabdopleuridae. The record is from RNAcentral.